GGGAAGGGUGGAACCGGUUCAGCUGUGACUGCACAGGCAUGGGUGACUGUGGGAGAACAUGUGAAAGAGAGCACUAUUUCUCCAGCCCUUCAUGCUGUUGUUAGAUGAAUCCACCGAUGAUCUCAAUCUGGAUGCCUGUGUGUGUCUGGAAGAAGAACUGAAAUAGGAAGUGGCUCUUUAUUUUGGUUUGGCAGUGCCGGUGAACAAUAUUAUAGACUCGACAGAAUAUUCCCAGCCUCCUGGCUUUGAUGGAGCUUAGCAGGUGA
This is a long non-coding RNA of Carcharodon carcharias (great white shark), 266 nucleotides long. RefSeq lists it as uncharacterized. NCBI's taxonomy places the organism in Eukaryota, Metazoa, Chordata, Chondrichthyes, Lamniformes, Lamnidae. The record is from RefSeq and is a predicted model, not a curated record. The transcript is spliced from 3 exons.